UACAGAGGUCCCAAGCGUUGUUCGGAUUCACUGGGCGUAAAGGGUGCGUAGGUGGUGAGGUAAGUCCGAUGUGAAAGCUCCGAGCUCAACUCGGAAAUUGCAUUAGAAACUACCUUGCUGGAGGGUUGGAGGGGGGACUGGAAUUCUCGGUGUAGCAGUGAAAUGCGUAGAUAUCGAGAGGAACACCAGUGGCGAAGGCGAGUCCCUGGACAACUCCUGACACUGAGGCACGAAAGCUAGGGGAGCAAACAGG
This 253-nucleotide ribosomal RNA is filed under the name uncultured bacterium. RNAcentral describes it as "partial 16S ribosomal RNA". It matches the Rfam family "Bacterial small subunit ribosomal RNA", at positions 524 to 776 of the family's 1533-position model. The record is from RNAcentral.